AAUAUGUGUGUAGGAAGAAGUGAAAAUCAAAUCCCGUGGCUGGCUGAGACUCUGCCAUAGCCAGCAAGAAGGUUGAGAUAAUUUCUUCUCCAACUCACCAAGUAUUCGAAGUCUGGCUGGUGUUUCUCUUUACGUGCUGGUCUUAAGUACAACGCAGAGGAUCACACUUAGCAGAUAAUUGUCAAGUUCGUGGGACAGUCUGUUCCUUGGAAAUGCUUUCUACUCUAAAGAUGCUGUACUCCAUCACUGGUGUGUGCAUGACUUCCUGGUCCUACUGAAGCCAGGAAAAUAUUGAAAUGCGGACAUAGGCAUUCGGAGAUGCACUUAUGAAGACCCGUGAGCUCCUAAUUAUGAAAAAGCUACAGUCAGUGUAACUGCUGCAUCUUCCUUUGAGUUGAACAUUUCUGCUGGUUUGUAACGUAACGCUUUCAUCUAAGUAUUCUGCAAUUUGGGCAUUUAAUAAAAAACGUUAAUAGUCUCUGGUCUUAGAGAUGAA
This 496-nucleotide small RNA is filed under the name Rattus norvegicus (Norway rat). Its description in RNAcentral is "uncharacterized LOC103690559". The record is from RNAcentral. Lineage: Eukaryota; Metazoa; Chordata; Mammalia; Rodentia; Muridae.